AACUUUCAGCAACGGAUCUCUUGGCUCUCGCAUCGAUGAAGGACGCAGCGAAAUGCGAUAAGUAAUGUGAAUUGCAGAAUUCAGUGAAUCAUCGAAUCUUUGAACGCACCUUGCACUCCUUGGUAUUCCGAGGAGUAUGCCUGUUUGAG
Molecule: ribosomal RNA, 149 nt
Filed under: Boletopsis sp. Rec227649
Lineage: Eukaryota; Fungi; Basidiomycota; Agaricomycetes; Thelephorales; Thelephoraceae
Description: 5.8S ribosomal RNA
Rfam family: 5.8S ribosomal RNA
About the family: 5.8S ribosomal RNA (5.8S rRNA) is a component of the large subunit of the eukaryotic ribosome. It is transcribed by RNA polymerase I as part of the 45S precursor that also contains 18S and 28S rRNA.
Source: RNAcentral